GCUCCGUUGGUGAACCAGCGGAGGGAUCAUUACCAGAGUUUUACAACUCCCAACCCUUCUGUGAACCUACCUAUCGUUGCUUCGGCGGACUCGCCCCAGCGUCCGGACGGCCCCGCGCCGGCCCGCGACCUGGACCCAGGCGGCCGCCGGAAACCACACAAUCCUGUAUCCAUCAGUCUCUCUAAAUCCGCCGCAAGGCAAAACAAACGAAUCAAAACUUUCAACAAUGGAUCUCUUGGUUCUG
This 244-nucleotide unclassified non-coding RNA is filed under the name plant metagenome. Its description in RNAcentral is "partial contains small subunit ribosomal RNA, internal transcribed spacer 1, and 5.8S ribosomal RNA". The record is from RNAcentral.